This 274-nucleotide ribosomal RNA is filed under the name uncultured bacterium. Its description in RNAcentral is "partial 16S ribosomal RNA". It matches the Rfam family "Bacterial small subunit ribosomal RNA", at positions 523 to 796 of the family's 1533-position model. The record is from RNAcentral.
AGACGAACCGUCCAAACGUUAUUCGGAAUUACUGGGCUUAAAGGGUGCGUAGGCGGCGCGGAAAGUUGGGUGUGAAAUACCUCGGCUCAACCGAGGAACUGCGCCCAAAACUUCCGUGCUCGAGGGAGAUAGAGGUGAGCGGAACUUAGGGUGGAGCGGUGAAAUGCGUUGAUAUCCUAAGGAACACCGGUGGCGAAGGCGGCUCACUGGAUCUCUUCUGACGCUGAGGCACGAAAGCUCGGGUAGCGAACGGGAUUAGAAACCCCGGUAGUCC